This 1381-nucleotide ribosomal RNA is filed under the name Alexandrium fundyense. RNAcentral's name for it is "LSU rRNA". It matches the Rfam family "Eukaryotic large subunit ribosomal RNA", at positions 71 to 1415 of the family's 3401-position model. The record is from RNAcentral. RNAcentral also lists the same sequence under 1 other name. Lineage: Eukaryota; Dinophyceae; Gonyaulacales; Pyrocystaceae.
GGGAUAUCUUUAGUAAUUGCGAAUGAACAAGGAUAUGCUUAGCUUGACAAAUGGAGCUAUUGGCUUUGAAUUGUAUUGUGGAAAUGUAUUACCAACAGAGGUGCAGGUGCCAGCCUAUUGAAAUAAAGCGUCAAUGAGGGUGAGAAUCCUGUUUGUCAUGUGCAGCCCUUUGUGCACGGUGUAUAUUUGCUGAGUCACACUCCUUGGCAUUGGAAUGCAAAGUGGGUGGUAAGUUUCAUGUAAAGGUAAACAUGCAAUUGAGACUGAUAGCACACAAGUACCAUGAGGGAAAUAUGAAAAGGACUUUGAAAAGAGAAUUAAAUGAGUUUGUAUUUGCUGAACACAAAGUAAACAGACUUGAUUUGCUUGGUGGGAGUGUUGCACUUGCUUGACAAGAGCUUUGGGCUGUGGGUGUAAUGAUUCUUUCUUUGCAUGCCAGUUUCUAUUUGUACAUCUGAUUACCUUUGCACAUGAAUGAUAAGUCUCCUGUGGGGGGUGGAUUGCAUGUGCAUGUAAUGAUUUGUGUUUUGAUAAAUGUGUCUGGUGUAUGUGUGUGUUCCUGUGCUUGGGGAUGCUUCCUUCCUUGGACUUACAAGCCCUGACACACACAUGCUGGCAAAAUGCUUCUGCUUGACCCGUCUUGAAACACGGACCAAGGAGUCUAACAGAUGUGCAAAGUUUGAAGGUGGUAUACCUUUGUGUGCAAUGAAAGUGUCAGCUGGGAUAUGUGCACCAGCACCCAAUUAAUUAGCGGACAGAGGUUUGAGUUGGAGCAUAUCUAUUAGGACCCGAAAGAUGGUGAACUAUGCCUGAACAGAAUGAAUUCAGAGGAAACUCUGAUGGAGGUUCGUAUCGAUACUGACGUGCAAAUCGUUCGUCAUAUUUGGGUAUAGGGGCGAAAGACUAAUCGAACCAUCUAGUAGCUGGUUCCCUCCGAAGUUUCCCUCAGGAUAGCUGGAGUUGCUCAGUUUUAUCAGGUAAAGCGAAUGAUUAGAGGAAUUGGGGACAGGUUUGUCUUUGACCUAUUCUCAAACUUUAAAUGGGUAAUAUGUAGUGGUUGCUGUAUGGAACUUCUAAGAUAAAUGGCAAUAUUGGGUGGGCCAUUUUUGGUAAGCAGAACUGGCGAUGAGGGAUGAACCUAAUGUGGGGCUAAGGUGCUUAAUUACUUGCUCAUUUGAUACCAGAAAGGGUGUUGGUUCAUUUUAACAGCAGGACGGUGGUCAUGGAAGUCGAAAUCCGCUAAGGAGUGUGUAACAACUCACCUGCCGAAUGGACUAGCCCCGAAAAUGGAUGGCGCUCAAGCGGGUGACUGAUACCCAACCAUUGUUGUAAACAACAUCAAUGUGUAGGAGGGCAUGGUGGCUUGUGACACAGCCUUUGG